This 619-nucleotide ribosomal RNA is filed under the name uncultured archaeon. RNAcentral's name for it is "bacterial SSU rRNA". It matches the Rfam family "Archaeal small subunit ribosomal RNA", at positions 65 to 685 of the family's 1478-position model. The record is from RNAcentral.
GGUUCGGCCCUCGGCAGACUGCUCAGUAACACGUGGAUAACCUAACCUUAGGUGGAAGAUAACCUCGGGAAACUGAGAACAAUAUUCCAUAGAUCUAGAAUGCUGGAAUGCAUCUAGAUUAAAAGUUCCGACGCCUAAGGAUGGGUCUGCGGACUAUCAGGUUGUAGUCAGGGUAAAGACCUGACUAGCCUACGACGGAUAUGGGUUGUGAGAGCAAUAGCCCAGAGACGAUAUCUGAGACACGAUAUCGGGCCCUACGGGGCGCAGCAGGCGCGAAAUCUUCACAAUGUGCGAAAGCACGAUGAGGGGAUCCCAAGUGCUGGCACGUAAGUGUCAGCUGUUUUUUAGUCUAAAAMACUGAGAGAGUAAGRGCUGGGUAAGACGGGUGCCAGCCGCCGCGGUAAUACCUGCAGCUCGAGUGGUGGCCGCUAUUAUUGGGCCUAAAACGUCCGUAGCCUGUUUAGUAAAUGCUUGGGUAAAUUGUGUAGCUUAACUAUACGAAUACCGGGUAGACUGCUAAACUUGGGACCGGGAGAGGCUAGAGGUACUUCCUASGGUAGAGGUGAAAUUUCUGUUAUCCUAGGGGGACCACCCUKUGCGAAGGCGUUCUAGCNUAGAA